Molecule: ribosomal RNA, 495 nt
Filed under: uncultured bacterium
Lineage: Bacteria
Description: partial 16S ribosomal RNA
Rfam family: Bacterial small subunit ribosomal RNA
Source: RNAcentral
GACGAACGCUGGCGGCGUGCCUAAUACAUGCAAGUAGAACGCUGAAGGAGGAGCUUGCUUCUCUGGAUGAGUUGCGAACGGGUGAGUAACACGUAGGUAACCUGCCUGGUAGCGGGGGAUAACUAUUGGAAACGAUAGCUAAUACCGCAUAAGAGUAGAUGUCGCAUGACAUUUGCUUAAAAGGUGCAAUUGCAUCACUACCAGAUGGACCUGCGUUGUAUUAGCUAGUUGGUGAGGUAACGGCUCACCAAGGCAACGAUACAUAGCCGACCUGAGAGGGUGAUCGGCCACACUGGGACUGAGACACGGCCCAGACUCCUACGGGAGGCAGCAGUAGGGAAUCUUCGGCAAUGGACGGAAGUCUGACCGAGCAACGCCGCGUGAGUGAAGAAGGUUUUCGGAUCGUAAAGCUCUGUUGUAAGAGAAGAACGAGUGUGAGAGUGGAAAGUUCACACUGUGACGGUAUCUUACCAGAAAGGGGCGGCUAACUACGUG